CUGUUAUUUGCUAUUUAAUUUGUACACACCCACACCCACUAAGAGGAUGAGGAGGCAGAUUUUGUUUGUUAUGACAGAAACUCCUUAAGGAUCCAAGAGAUUAAUAAAAGAUUGGAGGCUCACAGAGAAAAAGUCAAACACAAUUCUGAUGGACAACAGAGGAACCGUUUGGCCUGAUACAGCACAGUGAUUUAAUUAGCAUAGUGUGGAGGAGAAGUUAAGCCUCUUAUUGAUAGCUAGUCGCAUCAAGCCAGCAACACCAUCUGUAAAUGGGAAUAUGUGGCGUUUGGCAGGGUCUAGAUCCUAAAGGAGGGGUAGAACCAGACAGAGCCACACAUCCAUCCUCAGUGAAACAAACCUGACAGCAUAGCAGCAGUGCAGAUCCACACCCCACAGAAGACAAGGCAGAAGGAGUGGUGUCCAGAAAUUAGAAAGGAAAAAGGUUCAAGGUCUUGGAAUAAGCUUCUGGGAUGCUGAUCUAGCACUAACCCUGAACUCUGACCUUCCAAAUCAAGAAGGAGGGAAAUGAAAAGAAUAGCAACCCACGUGGAGCAUCAGAGCAUCAUGUUAGAGAUACAGUAUGGGCUGUCAGCUAAACAGGUAACAGGCCAUUUAUGUCAGCCAGAAAGAAUCACACAAACAGGUAGAUAUCCUGUCAGGUUGAUACAUCAGCAGUCAUGACAACAAAAACCAGAGGAGGGGAGGGGGAGUCUAUUUUCUAUUUAUAUCUCAAACAUACAGGUAGAUGUGCCGCAAACAGCAUACUCCCUCUCUCUCCUCCACACUGGUUUGUUUGGGCUAUAAAUAGACCUCCACUGCUGCGGACAUCCACUGAAUCAAUCUGUCUGUAUCCAUUUAUCCAUCAACCUGCCUGCUUGUUUUCCUGUCGGAUUGUAUUUCCAUAUAGCCUGUCUCUCUCGCUCUCUCUCUCUGUUAGUCAAAACACAGUGUCUCUGUGUUUUCUGGAUUCUUGACAGACGGGCAAAGCAACAGCUGUAACGAUUCUGCAGCGACUCCUGAACACAACAACAAACCAAAUAACACACAUUCCUCCCACACCCAUUCCCAUGUGCACACAGACUCUUCACACACACACAUUCUCGUCUACUGCUGAUAUGAAACGGCUGUUGUUUUUGUUUUUUGUUUUCUUGGAGCCUUAAUAUUCAUACAAACACUUGAUGGUGCAACUGUGAUG
Long non-coding RNA from Larimichthys crocea (large yellow croaker), 1195 nucleotides. RefSeq lists it as uncharacterized. The record is from RefSeq and is a predicted model, not a curated record. NCBI's taxonomy places the organism in Eukaryota, Metazoa, Chordata, Actinopteri, Sciaenidae. The transcript is spliced from 3 exons.